GGGGGUGUGGCCCAGUGAUGGAGCACUUGCCUAGCAUGCACAAGGCCCUGGGUUUAAUCCCCAGUACUGCCA
RNAcentral lists this transfer RNA (72 nucleotides) under Cavia porcellus (domestic guinea pig). It matches the Rfam family "tRNA". Rfam says of the family: Transfer RNA (tRNA) molecules are approximately 80 nucleotides in length. The record is from Rfam by way of RNAcentral. Lineage: Eukaryota; Metazoa; Chordata; Mammalia; Rodentia; Caviidae.